CAUCUGACGAAAGGCUGUAUUUCCCAGCUGCCAGGUCAAGCCUGGGCAGCCCCCAGCUUGAUGACACCCUGUGGCCUCUCUGUGCACACUGGUUUCUUUGUGACCUCCUCCCCCAGGACCUUGAAUGGGAUGCUGGACAUUCUUCCUGAGAAACCCGAAGAGGAUAUUAAAAAGACAGCCACAGUUUUCCUACCACUUGCUGCCAGCUUUCUUGGGGGCCAGCUGUUGGGAGAAAAGUCCAGCGUGGGGUUAAGUGGUACGCCUGAGAGCUUGGCAAGCGGGGAGUUGAGAUGAGAACCCAGCCGUUAGAUUCCCGGUCUGUCUUACACGGAAGGGCCAGACACAGAAAACCACCCCUCUGCAUGGCCAAGCCGACCAGGAGUAGGGAUCCCUGUCUCUGAGCAAGACCUUCAUCUCUCUGAAACUCAGUUUCCAGGUUUGUAAGAUGUGCUUGUCACGGGACAUUGUUGUGAGGAUUCAGUAAAAGAGUGGCCAUAGAAGAGCUUUUUGGGUUGUACAUACCUGAGGGAUUUGGGUGUCAGUGGAGGGGGUGGCUCCCUUUUCCGUG
RNAcentral lists this long non-coding RNA (568 nucleotides) under Microcebus murinus (gray mouse lemur). RNAcentral's name for it is "lncRNA (ENSMICG00000048294.1)". The record is from RNAcentral. Lineage: Eukaryota; Metazoa; Chordata; Mammalia; Primates; Cheirogaleidae.